RNAcentral lists this ribosomal RNA (431 nucleotides) under uncultured bacterium. RNAcentral describes it as "partial 16S ribosomal RNA". It matches the Rfam family "Bacterial small subunit ribosomal RNA", at positions 338 to 795 of the family's 1533-position model. The record is from RNAcentral.
CCUACGGGAGGCAGCAGUAAGGAAUAUUGGACAAUGGUCGCAAGACUGAUCCAGCCAUGCCGCGUGCAGGAUGACUGCCUAUGGGUUGUAAACUGCUUUUGUACGGGAAUAUGUACCGUAAGAAUAAGGAUCGGCUAACUUCGUGCCAGCAGCCGCGGUAAGACGAAGGAUCCAAGCGUUAUCCGGAUUUAUUGGGUUUAAAGGGUGCGUAGGCGGAUUGAUAAGUCAGUGGUGAAAGCCUGUUGCUUAACAACAGAACUGCCAUUGAUACUGUCAAUCUUGAAUAUGUUUGAUGUGGGCGGAAUAUGACAUGUAGCGGUGAAAUGCUUAGAUAUGUCAUAGAACACCGAUUGCGAAGGCAGCUCACAAACCUUAUUGACGCUGAGGCACGAAAGCGUGGGGAUCAAACAGGAUUAGAUACCCCAGUAGUC